This is a long non-coding RNA of Spinacia oleracea (spinach), 918 nucleotides long. RefSeq lists it as uncharacterized. The transcript has 2 exons. The record is from RefSeq and is a predicted model, not a curated record. NCBI's taxonomy places the organism in Eukaryota, Viridiplantae, Streptophyta, Magnoliopsida, Caryophyllales, Amaranthaceae.
CAUAACCGAAUUAGUCAAAUACAACAUAUUUUGAAUUGAGUAAAAUCUUGAUAAAUAAACUUAUAUGUUAGUCUACUUACCAUGUAUUAUUAUUUUAAUUAACAUUCUUACUUACCAGUUACCAUGUAUUAUAUUAUUAAUAGUAGACUAACAUUAGAAAUUCAUUUAUCAAUACUUUUUAUAUUUCUUAUCAGAUUAAAAAGUUAUAAUAAUACGUAAAUAAAAUUAUAUCAUAAAGGAAAAAAUAAUAUUGAUUUAGCUUUCCUCCAAUAAUAUAUUAUGCAGUACACAUCUAUGGUAAUUAAAAUAUAUUUUUAUCUUAGUUUCCUAAAAAAAACGUAAUGUAAUUUAUCUAUUUUAAAGUAAAAAAAUAAAAAAAUAUUUUGGCGGGAAAAAAUCGCAUCAGGAAAUGACACGUGUCAUUCCUAGUGUAUUCCUGGUGUCUCUUUUAAUAUAUAUAUAUAUAUAUAUAUAUUUUUUUUUUUUCCUCCAAUUCUCACCCCCACAACUCCACAAGUCGUGUUCUUCAAAUUCAUUCAACCUAAUUUCAUCUGUGGCCUCUCUCUUCGUAGGCCCCUUGACCCAAAUUCUUGCAAUUUCCCUAUUUCUUGGAAUCCAAGCACUUCCCAGUUGAAUUGAAGCCAAGUCGAGCAAGAUAAGGGCAAGUCUGCAGUUGGGCAUCUAGCUUGUCUACAGUUGCUCAAUCUCAGUGUUGUCCUGCAGAUGGCAGGCCUGGGCUGGAGGCUUUUGGAAGGUAGCAGUCAAGAUUUUGGAAUGGCGUUCUUUUAUCAUUUUUGCCAAAGUUGACUUAUGUGGACCUUGCUAGGCUAGUUCAGUCUCAUUUUUUAUGGCUUGUCUAGGUGUUGAUCUCUUAGGUUGUACAAACAAUUUGGUUUUCAAUGGAAGUUUUGUUUUUUU